This 253-nucleotide ribosomal RNA is filed under the name uncultured bacterium. RNAcentral's name for it is "partial 16S ribosomal RNA". It matches the Rfam family "Bacterial small subunit ribosomal RNA", at positions 524 to 776 of the family's 1533-position model. The record is from RNAcentral.
UACGAAGGGGGCUAGCGUUGUUCGGAAUCACUGGGCGUAAAGAGCUCGUAGGUGGUUUGUCGCGUUGUUCGUGAAAACCGGGGGCUUAACCCUCGGCGUGCGGGCGAUACGGGCAGACUUGAGUACUGCAGGGGAGACUGGAAUUCCUGGUGUAGCGGUGGAAUGCGCAGAUAUCAGGAGGAACACCGGUGGCGAAGGCGGGUCUCUGGGCAGUAACUGACGCUGAGGAGCGAAAGCGUGGGGAGCGAACAGG